This 490-nucleotide ribosomal RNA is filed under the name uncultured bacterium. RNAcentral's name for it is "partial 16S ribosomal RNA". It matches the Rfam family "Bacterial small subunit ribosomal RNA", at positions 30 to 507 of the family's 1533-position model. The record is from RNAcentral.
AUUGAACGCUGGCGGCAUGCUUUACACAUGCAAGUCGGACGGCAGCACAGAGAAGCUUGCUUCUUGGGUGGCGAGUGGCGAACGGGUGAGUAAUAUAUCGGAACGUACCGAGUAAUGGGGGAUAACUAAUCGAAAGAUUAGCUAAUACCGCAUAUUCUCUGAGGCGGAAAGCAGGGGACCUUCGGGCCUUGCGUUAUUCGAGCGGCCGAUAUCUGAUUAGCUAGUUGGUGGGGUAAAGGCCUACCAAGGCGACGAUCAGUAGCGGGUCUGAGAGGAUGAUCCGCCACACGGGGACGGAGACACGGCCCAGACUCCUACGGGAGGCAGCAGUGGGGUAUGUUGGACAAUGGGCGCAAGCCUGAUCCAGCCAGGCCGCGUGUCUGAAGAAGGCCUUCGGGUUGUAAAGGACUUUUGUCAGGGAAGAAAAGGCUGUUGCUAAUACCGACAGCUGAUGACGGUACCUGAAGAAUAAGCACCGGCUAACUACGUG